RNAcentral lists this unclassified non-coding RNA (253 nucleotides) under uncultured Alphaproteobacteria bacterium. RNAcentral's name for it is "contains 16S-23S intergenic spacer region". It matches the Rfam family "Bacterial small subunit ribosomal RNA", at positions 524 to 776 of the family's 1533-position model. Lineage: Bacteria; Pseudomonadati; Pseudomonadota; Alphaproteobacteria. The record is from RNAcentral.
UACGAAGGGGGCUAGCGUUGUUCGGAAUUACUGGGCGUAAAGCGCACGUAGGCGGACCGGCCAGUCAGGGGUGAAAUCCCAGAGCUUAACACUGGAACUGCCUUUGAUACUGCCGGUCUUGAGGAUGAGAGAGGUGAGUGGAACUGCGAGUGUAGAGGUGAAAUUCGUAGAUAUUCGCAAGAACACCAGUGGCGAAGGCGGCUCACUGGCUCAUUUCUGACGCUGAGGUGCGAAAGCGUGGGGAGCAAACAGG